CCUUCUGUGCCGGAGUUAACGCAAUAAGUACCCCGCCUGGGGAGUACGACCGCAAGGUUGAAACUCAAAGGAAUUGACGGGGGCCCGCACAAGCGGUGGAGUAUGUGGUUUAAUUCGACGCAACGCGAAGAACCUUACCAGGUCUUGACAUUGAUGGACAGAACUAGAGAUAGUUCCUCUUCUUCGGAAGCCAGAAAACAGGUGGUGCACGGUUGUCGUCAGCUCGUGUCGUGAGAUGUUGGGUUAAGUCCCGCAACGAGCGCAACCCCUAUCUUAUGUUGCCAGCACUUCGGGUGGGAACUCAUGAGAGACUGCCGCAGACAAUGCGGAGGAAGGCGGGGAUGACGUCAAAUCAUCAUGCCCCUUAUGACCUGGGCUACACACGUACUACAAUGGGAGUUAAUAGACGGAAGCAAUACCGCGAGGUGGAGCAAACCCGAGAAACACUCUCUCAGUUCGGAUCGUAGGCUGCAACUCGCCUACGUGAAGUCGGAAUCGCUAGUAAUCGCAGGUCAGCAUACUGCGGUGAAUACGUUCCCGGGCCUUGUACACACCGCCCGUCACACCACGAAAGUCGGAAGUGCCCAAAGCCGGUGGGGUAACCUUCGGGAGCCAGCCGUCUAAGGUAAAGUCGAUGAUUGGGGUGAAGUCGUAACAAGGUAGCCGUAUCGGAAGGUGCGGCUGGAUCACCUCCUUUCUAGGGAGA
RNAcentral lists this ribosomal RNA (706 nucleotides) under Veillonella infantium. RNAcentral describes it as "bacterial SSU rRNA". It matches the Rfam family "Bacterial small subunit ribosomal RNA", at positions 837 to 1533 of the family's 1533-position model. Lineage: Bacteria; Bacillati; Bacillota; Negativicutes; Veillonellales; Veillonellaceae. The record is from RNAcentral.